UACGUAGGUGGCAAGCGUUGUCCGGAAUUACUGGGCGUAAAGGGUGCGUAGGCGGUUGUUCAAGUCAGAUGUGAAAUACCCGGGCUUAACCUGGGGGGUGCAUUUGAAACUGGAUGACUGGAGUGCAGGAGAGGAAAGCGGAAUUCCUGGUGUAGCGGUGGAAUGCGUAGAUAUCAGGAGGAACACCGGUGGCGAAGGCGGCUUUCUGGACUGUAACUGACGCUGAGGCACGAAAGCGUGGGGAGCGAACAGG
This 253-nucleotide ribosomal RNA is filed under the name uncultured bacterium. RNAcentral's name for it is "partial 16S ribosomal RNA". It matches the Rfam family "Bacterial small subunit ribosomal RNA", at positions 524 to 776 of the family's 1533-position model. The record is from RNAcentral.